This 500-nucleotide ribosomal RNA is filed under the name uncultured bacterium. Its description in RNAcentral is "partial 16S ribosomal RNA". It matches the Rfam family "Bacterial small subunit ribosomal RNA", at positions 30 to 523 of the family's 1533-position model. The record is from RNAcentral.
AUUGAACGCUGGCGGAAUGCUUUACACAUGCAAGUCGAACGGCAGCACGGACUUCGGUCUGGUGGCGAGUGGCGAACGGGUGAGUAAUGUAUCGGAACGUGCCCAGUCGUGGGGGAUAACGUAGUGAAAAUUACGCUAAUACCGCAUACGAUCUAUGGAUGAAAGCGGGGGAUCGCAAGACAUCGCGCGAUUGGAGCGGCCGAUAGCAGAUUAGGUAGUUGGUGGGGUAAAGGCCCACCAAGCCAACGAUCUGUAGCUGGUCUGAGAGGACGACCAGCCACACUGGAACGGAGACACGGUCCAGACUCCUACGGGAGGCAGCAGUGGGGAAUUUUGGACAAUGGGCGAGAGCCUGAUCCAGCCAUUCCGCGUGCAGGAUGAAGGCCCUCGGGUUGUAAACUGCUUUUGUACAGAACGAAAAGGUUUCUACUAAUACUAGGAGCUCAUGACGGUACUGUAAGAAUAAGCACCGGCUAACUACGUGCCAGCAGCCGCCGUAA